This 343-nucleotide ribosomal RNA is filed under the name uncultured Acholeplasma sp. RNAcentral describes it as "bacterial SSU rRNA". It matches the Rfam family "Bacterial small subunit ribosomal RNA", at positions 1037 to 1382 of the family's 1533-position model. Lineage: Bacteria; Bacillati; Mycoplasmatota; Mollicutes; Acholeplasmatales; Acholeplasmataceae. The record is from RNAcentral.
GGUGGUGCAUGGUUGUCGUCAGCUCGUGUCGUGAGAUGUUGGGUUAAGUCCGCAACGAGCGCAACCCUUAUUGCUAGUUACCAUCAUUCAGUUGGGGACUCUAGCGAGACUGCCAGUGAUAAACUGGAGGAAGGUGGGGAUGACGUCAAAUCAUCAUGCCCCUUAUGACCUGGGCUACAAACGUGAUACAAUGGCUGAAACAAAGGGCAGCGAAGCAGUGAUGUGGAGCGAAACCCAAAAAAGCAGUCUCAGUUCGGAUUGAAGUCUGCAACUCGACUUCAUGAAGUCGGAAUCGCUAGUAAUCGCGGAUCAGAACGCCGCGGUGAAUACGUUCUCGGGGUUU